Molecule: ribosomal RNA, 301 nt
Filed under: uncultured bacterium
Lineage: Bacteria
Description: partial 16S ribosomal RNA
Rfam family: Bacterial small subunit ribosomal RNA
Source: RNAcentral
CAGCCGCCACGGGAAUACGAAGGGUGCAAGCGUUACUCGGAAUUACUGGGCGUAAAGCGUGCGUAGGUGGUGGUUUAAGUACGUUGUGAAAGCCCUGGGCUCAACCUGGGAAUUGCAGUGGAUACUGGGUCACUAGAGUGUGGUAGAGGAUAGUGGAAUUUCCGGUGUAGCAGUGAAAUGCGUAGAGAUCGGAAGGAACACCUGUGGCGAAGGCGACUAUCUGGGCCAACACUGACACUGAGGCACGAAAGCGUGGGGAGCAAACAGGAUUAGAUACCCCAGUAGUCCCUGUCUCUUAUAC